Nannospalax galili (Upper Galilee mountains blind mole rat) is the source of this 613-nucleotide long non-coding RNA. RefSeq lists it as uncharacterized. Lineage: Eukaryota; Metazoa; Chordata; Mammalia; Rodentia; Spalacidae. The record is from RefSeq and is a predicted model, not a curated record. The transcript has 3 exons.
UUUGAUGAAACAAGAUGAGACAAAAGGUUUACGUGUCUUAAGAAUCAGCCCAAAUCUAGCUGACAUUGGUAUAAUGAAACGCUUCAGGGAAUUAAGUUAGAAGUCACCGCCCUGGGCCAACUGUGCACCACGCUCAGUUUCCCAUUAGAUUUUCUCAGCAAAUGUGACAUUGGGACCAAGAAAAUCAUAACAAAGAGCUUGGUUUAGGCACCUGUGAAAUAAAAUAAUGUGUCUUUAUGGCAAAAUGGGAAAUGAGAAGAUGCUCUCCACCUUCAAGCUUUAGUCGACAACUGUGAACCCUGAUCUUUUCUCCCAGGAGUAAACAGACGCACUGUCCUGAGGGUGGCACAUCUGACUCCCGACGGGGCCAAGGUCAAGGGCUUUGCAGCAGGACAGCUACACGAAGGAAAUGAAGAAAGAUAUGCUUUUGCUGGUGAAAGCCUUCUGGAGAGUGUGCACAUGUGGAGGUCAGAGGACAACUUGCAGGAGUUGGUAUUCUCCUUCUGUACGAGUCCUGGGAGUCAAACUAAGGUCAUCAGGCUUCGUGGCAAGUGUCUUUAUCUGCUGAGUCAUCUCAAUUACUUCUUGUUGGCUCUGCCUGGCUCUGCCCUCU